RNAcentral lists this ribosomal RNA (325 nucleotides) under uncultured eukaryote. Its description in RNAcentral is "partial 18S ribosomal RNA". It matches the Rfam family "Eukaryotic small subunit ribosomal RNA", at positions 1470 to 1796 of the family's 1831-position model. The record is from RNAcentral.
CCCUUAGAUGUUCUGGGCCGCACGCGCGCUACACUGAUGCAUUCAACAAGCCUAGCCUUGACCGAGAGGUCCGGGUAAUCUUUGAAACUGCAUCGUGAUGGGGCUAGAUUAUUGCAAUUAUUAAUCUUCAACGAGGAAUGCCUAGUAAGCGUGAUUCAUCAAAUCGCGUUGAUUACGUCCCUGCCCUUUGUACACACCGCCCGUCGCUCCUACCGAUUGAGUGGUCCGGUGAGGCUUUGGGAUCUGAGCGGAAAGAGCGUUUCGCUCGUUCUGCCCGGAAAACUCAGUCGAACCUUAUCAUUUAGAGGAAGGAGAAGUCGUAACA